AGAGUUUGAUCAUGGCUCAGGAUGAACGCUAGCGGCAGGCUUAACACAUGCAAGUCGAGGGGUAGAAGCAGCUUGCUGCUUUGAGACCGGCGCACGGGUGCGUAACGCGUAUACAAUCUACCUUUUACAGAGGGAUAGCCCAGAGAAAUUUGGAUUAAUACCUCAUAGUAUUUUCGAAUCGCAUGGUUUGAUUAUUAAAGUUCCAACGGUAAAAGAUGAGUAUGCGUCCCAUUAGCUAGAUGGUAAGGUAACGGCUUACCAUGGCAACGAUGGGUAGGGGUCCUGAGAGGGAGAUCCCCCACACUGGUACUGAGACACGGACCAGACUCCUACGGGAGGCAGCAGUGAGGAAUAUUGGACAAUGGGCGCAAGCCUGAUCCAGCCAUGCCGCGUGCAGGAAGACGGUCCUAUGGAUUGUAAACUGCUUUUAUACAGGAAGAAACACACCCUCGUGAGGGUACUUGACGGUACUGUAUGAAUAAGCAUCGGCUAAACUCCGUGCCAGCAGCCGCGGUAAUACUGAGGAUGCAAGCGUUAUCCGGAAUCCUUGGGUUUAAAGGGUCC
This 564-nucleotide ribosomal RNA is filed under the name uncultured Flavobacteriia bacterium. RNAcentral describes it as "bacterial SSU rRNA". It matches the Rfam family "Bacterial small subunit ribosomal RNA", at positions 8 to 570 of the family's 1533-position model. Lineage: Bacteria; Pseudomonadati; Bacteroidota; Flavobacteriia. The record is from RNAcentral.